GGUGGCGGCUAUACUGGACUUGUCCCACCUGUUCCCAUUCCGAACACAGAAGUGAAAUAGUUCAAGGCCCAUGAUAGUAUCGGGCUUAGCCUGAUGCGAAAGUAGGUAGCUGCCACCA
Molecule: ribosomal RNA, 118 nt
Filed under: Candidatus Yanofskybacteria bacterium RIFCSPLOWO2_01_FULL_49_25
Lineage: Bacteria; Candidatus Yanofskyibacteriota
Source: RNAcentral